GGGCUUGUAGUCUAGUGGUUAUGACGUCGCCUUCACACGGCGAAGGUCGGCGGUUCGAAUCCGCCCGAGCCCA
This 73-nucleotide transfer RNA is filed under the name Candidatus Aenigmatarchaeota archaeon. Its description in RNAcentral is "tRNA-Val". It matches the Rfam family "tRNA". From Rfam's summary of the family: Transfer RNA (tRNA) molecules are approximately 80 nucleotides in length. Their secondary structure includes four short double-helical elements and three loops (D, anti-codon, and T loops). Lineage: Archaea; Nanobdellati; Candidatus Aenigmatarchaeota. The record is from RNAcentral.